Molecule: ribosomal RNA, 267 nt
Filed under: Acinetobacter baumannii
Lineage: Bacteria; Pseudomonadati; Pseudomonadota; Gammaproteobacteria; Moraxellales; Moraxellaceae
Description: partial 23S ribosomal RNA
Rfam family: Bacterial large subunit ribosomal RNA
Source: RNAcentral
CCUUUACUAUAGCUUGACACUGAACAUUGAGCCUUGAUGUGUAGGAUAGGUGGGAGGCUUUGAAGCGUGGACGCCAGUCUGCGUGGAGCCAACCUUGAAAUACCACCCUUUAAUGUUUGAUGUUCUAACGUGGGCCCCUAAUCGGGGUUGCGGACAGUGUCUGGUGGGUAGUUUGACUGGGGCGGUCUCCUCCCAAAGCGUAACGGAGGAGCACGAAGGUUAGCUAAUCCUGGUCGGACAUCAGGAGGUUAGUGCAAUGGCAUAAGC